CCUACGGGCGGCAGCAGUGGGGGAUAUUGCACAAUGGGGGAAACCCUGAUGCAGCGACGCCGCGUGUAGGAAGACGGUCCUCUGGAUUGUAAACUACUGUCCCCAGGGACGAAGAUGACGGUACCUGGGGAGGAAGCUCCGGCUAACUCCGUGCCAGCAGCCGCGGUAAUACGGAGGGUGCAAGCGUUACUCGGAAUCACUGGGCGUAAAGGGCGCGUAGGCGGGAUAGCAAGUCAGAUGUGAAAUCCUAUGGCUUAACCAUAGAACUGCAUUUGAAACUGUUAUUUUUGAGUAUGGGAGAGGUAGGUGGAAUUCGUGGUGUAGGGGUAAAAUCCGUAGAGAUCAAGAAGAA
Molecule: ribosomal RNA, 352 nt
Filed under: uncultured bacterium
Lineage: Bacteria
Description: partial 16S ribosomal RNA
Rfam family: Bacterial small subunit ribosomal RNA
Source: RNAcentral